AUGACAUUUACACAUGUGCACACGACCCCGCCCUGCUGCCCUCUUAUUAAACCAGUGAACAUGAACAUACUGGGAUUGCUUCAAGGAUGUUACGCGGCUGCUUCUCAUAAAUUUCACAUGCUGUGGUCAAUAGGUGAUCUGGAAAAUGGGAGCCUGGGGAGAAAACACUGCGAGAGGACGUGAUUUACAGAUCUGACCGUAAAGCCUCCUGAUGGUGAUCAGAACAUUCAUGCACAGCGACUCUUGUGUUUAACUAGUCUGUGGUUUGGUGGUUUAGACGUAUUCUACGCAGUCCUCUGUGUGUAAAACUCCCUCGUACUAGAGCAGUUUCUUGGUUGCACACGUCUACUGUCUAAUAAAAUGCUAAUCACGCUGACUUUUGAACCCAGACGUGUGAGAUUGGUGUUAUCUCAAAAACGUAUUAAAACAGUUUCUUCUGUU
Molecule: long non-coding RNA, 441 nt
Organism: Stegastes partitus (bicolor damselfish)
Lineage: Eukaryota; Metazoa; Chordata; Actinopteri; Pomacentridae
Exons: 2
Source: RefSeq, a predicted model, not a curated record